RNAcentral lists this ribosomal RNA (493 nucleotides) under uncultured Sphingobacteriales bacterium. RNAcentral's name for it is "bacterial SSU rRNA". It matches the Rfam family "Bacterial small subunit ribosomal RNA", at positions 888 to 1382 of the family's 1533-position model. The record is from RNAcentral. Lineage: Bacteria; Pseudomonadati; Bacteroidota; Sphingobacteriia; Sphingobacteriales.
CCCGCUCAGAAACUCAAAGGAAUUGACGGGGGCCCGCACAAGCGGAGGAGCAUGUGGUUUAAUUCGAUGAUACGCGAGGAACCUUACCUGGGCUCGAACGUAGGAUGACUGUAGGUGAAAGCUUACAUCUCUUCGGAGCAUUUUACGAGGUGCUGCAUGGUUGUCGUCAGCUCGUGCCGUGAGGUGUCGGGUUAAGUCCCAUAACGAGCGCAACCCUACCUUUAGUUGCCAUCAGGUAAUGCUGGGGACUCUAAAGGAACUGCCUACGCAAGUAGUGAGGAAGGCGGGGAUGACGUCAAAUCAGCACGGCCCUUACGUCCAGGGCUACACACGUGCUACAAUGGCCGAUACAGAGGGCAGCUACCUGGUGACAGGAUGCAAAUCUCCAAAGUCGGUCUCAGUUCGGAUCGGAGUCUGCAACCCGACUCCGUGAAGUUGGAUUCGCUAGUAAUCGCGCAUCAGCCAUGGCGCGGUGAAUACGUUCCCGGGCCUU